ACUCCUACGGGAGGCAGCAGUGGGGAAUAUUGCACAAUGGGCGCAAGCCUGAUGCAGCAACGCCGCGUGAGUGAUGAAGGCCUUCGGUCGUAAAGCUCUGUCCUCAAGGAAGAAUAAAUGACGGUACUUGAGGAGGAAGCCCGGCUAACUACGUGCCAGCAGCCGCGGUAAUACGUAGGGGGCAAGCGUUAUCCGGAAUCACUGGGGCGUAAAGGGUGCGUAGGCGGUUUUCAAGUCAGAAGUGAAAGGCUAUGGCUCAACCAUAGUAAGCUUUUGAAACUGUUAAACUUGAGUGCAGGAGAGGAAAGUGGAAUUCCUAGUGUAGAGGUGAAAUUCGUAGAUAUUAGGAGGAACACCAGUGGCGAAGGCGACUUUCUGGACUGUAACUGACGCUGAGGCACGAAAGCGUGGGGAGCGGAACAGGAUUAGAUACCCUGGUAGCACAGAG
This 448-nucleotide ribosomal RNA is filed under the name uncultured bacterium. RNAcentral's name for it is "bacterial SSU rRNA". It matches the Rfam family "Bacterial small subunit ribosomal RNA", at positions 335 to 799 of the family's 1533-position model. The record is from RNAcentral.